RNAcentral lists this ribosomal RNA (253 nucleotides) under uncultured bacterium. RNAcentral's name for it is "partial 16S ribosomal RNA". It matches the Rfam family "Bacterial small subunit ribosomal RNA", at positions 524 to 776 of the family's 1533-position model. The record is from RNAcentral.
UACGUAGGGUGCGAGCGUUGUCCGGAUUUAUUGGGCGUAAAGGGCUCGUAGGCGGCGUGUCGCGUCGGGAGUGAAAGCCCGUUGCUUAACGGCGGGUUGGCUUUCGGUACGGGCAUGCUGGAGUGCGGCAGGGGAGAACGGAAUUCCUGGUGUAGCGGUGAAAUGCGCAGAUAUCAGGAGGAACACCGGUGGCGAAGGCGGUUCUCUGGGCCUGUACUGACGCUGAGGAGCGAAAGCGUGGGGAGCGAACAGG